RNAcentral lists this transfer RNA (77 nucleotides) under Muricoccus vinaceus. Its description in RNAcentral is "tRNA-Arg". It matches the Rfam family "tRNA". From Rfam's summary of the family: Transfer RNA (tRNA) molecules are approximately 80 nucleotides in length. Their secondary structure includes four short double-helical elements and three loops (D, anti-codon, and T loops). The record is from RNAcentral. RNAcentral also lists the same sequence under 3 other names. Lineage: Bacteria; Pseudomonadati; Pseudomonadota; Alphaproteobacteria; Acetobacterales; Roseomonadaceae.
GUCUCCGUAGCUCAGCAGGAUAGAGCACGGGAUUCCUAAUCCCGGGGCCAUGGGUUCGAAUCCCGUCGGGGACACCA